ACGUAGGUGGCAAGCGUUAUCCGGAUUUACUGGGUGUAAAGGGCGUGUAGGCGGGUCUGCAAGUCGGCUGUGAAACUCCCGAGCUUAACUCCGGCGGGUCCUCCGAAACUGCAGAUCUUGAGUACUGGAGAGGAUAGUGAAAUUCCUAGUGUAGCGGUAAAAUGCGUAGAUAUUAGGAGGAGCACCAGUGGCGAAGGCGGCUAUCUGGACAGUAACUGACGCUGAGGCGCGAAAGCGUGGGGAGCAAACAG
Molecule: ribosomal RNA, 251 nt
Filed under: uncultured prokaryote
Description: partial 16S rRNA
Rfam family: Bacterial small subunit ribosomal RNA
Source: RNAcentral